RNAcentral lists this ribosomal RNA (426 nucleotides) under uncultured Sphaerochaeta sp. RNAcentral describes it as "bacterial SSU rRNA". It matches the Rfam family "Bacterial small subunit ribosomal RNA", at positions 356 to 774 of the family's 1533-position model. Lineage: Bacteria; Pseudomonadati; Spirochaetota; Spirochaetia; Spirochaetales; Sphaerochaetaceae. The record is from RNAcentral.
GGGGAAUAUUGGACAAUGGGCGCAAGCCUGAUCCAGCCAUGCCGCGUGGGUGAAGAAGGCCUUCGGGUUGUAAAGCCCUUUUGUUGGGAAAGAAAAGCAGCCGGCCAAUACCCGGUUGUUCUGACGUGAAUCCCGGAAUAAGCCCCGGCUAACUACGUGCCAGCAGCCGCGGUAACACGUAGGGGGCGAGCGUUGUUCGGAAUCAUUGGGCGUAAAGGGCGUGCAGGCGGCCCUGCAAGUCCGGCGUGAAAUGCCCCGGCUCGACCGGGGAGACGCGCUGGAAACUGCGGGGCUGGAGUACAGGAGGGGAUGCCGGAAUUCCAGGUGUAGGGGUGAAAUCUGUAGAUAUCUGGAGGAACACCAAUGGCGAAGGCAGGCAUCUGGCCAUGUACUGACGCUGAGACGCGAAGGUGCGGGGAGCAAACA